AGCAGCCGCGGUAAUUCCAGCUCCAAUAGCGUAUAUUAAAGUUGUUGCAGUUAAAAAGCUCGUAGUUGAAUUUCGGAAUCUGUCCGUUGGUCGGGCUUCAUUGUCCGUACUGAUGUGAUGGGUUCUUACCUUCUGAAUAACCAGCAUGUCAUUAAUUUGGUGUGUUGGGGAAGCAGGACUAUUACCUUGAAAAAAUUAGAGUGCUCAAAGCAGGCUAGUGCCUGAAUACAUUAGCAUGGAAUAAUAAAAUAGGACAGCAUGGUUCUAUUUUGUUGGUUUCUAGGAUCACCGUAAUGAUUAAUAGGGAUAGUUGGGGGCAUUAGUAUUCAAUUGUCAGAGGUGAAAUUCCUGGAUUUAUUGAAGACUAACUUCUGCGAAAGCAUUUGCCAAGGAUGUUUUCAUUAAUCAAGACGAAAGUUAGGGGAUCGAAGACGAUCAGAUACCGUCGUAGUCUUAACCAUAAACUAUGCCGACUAGGGAUCGGACGAUGUUAAUUUUAUAA
This 502-nucleotide ribosomal RNA is filed under the name uncultured Acaulospora. RNAcentral describes it as "SSU rRNA". It matches the Rfam family "Eukaryotic small subunit ribosomal RNA", at positions 569 to 1074 of the family's 1831-position model. Lineage: Eukaryota; Fungi; Glomeromycota; Glomeromycetes; Diversisporales; Acaulosporaceae. The record is from RNAcentral.